GUCUAUGGCCAUACCACCCUGAAUGCGCUCAGUCUACUGUGAACUAAGCAGGGUUGGACCUGGUUAGUACUUGGAUGGGAGGCAGGAUCCACCCUCGUCCCAUUGACU
Molecule: ribosomal RNA, 108 nt
Organism: Ochotona princeps (American pika)
Lineage: Eukaryota; Metazoa; Chordata; Mammalia; Lagomorpha; Ochotonidae
Source: Ensembl